GAAAAAGGGAGUAACAUAAGAUCAUAAAAUGCGGGCAUGUUGAGUAAAUAUAUUUGUAGGCCUUCGUUACAUCGCUCCGGGCGGCGUAAGAUUACGUCCCGUAAUCAGACUUCAUGUUUGUGAUAAGAGGUUUUAACUUCUUCAAUUGGAGGACAGCAAACACCGAAGAGGCCAAGACAGCAGCAAAUGCGUAAGACGAUGAGGACAAGGAUGAAAAUGACGGUGACGACCAAGGAGAUUAUGAUGACCUCCCACCAGCUGGUAUACCUCUCGACUCCCGCUGAAGUCAGUAGAACAUGCAGAGGAUGAGCAUGAGGACGAUGAUUCGAUGGAAAAUCCACAGAUGUGUCGAAGGAAGCAUCGCAUAACAACAAGUGCAUAGGCGAAGACAGGUCGCCAUUUUGAUGAGUGUCGUUUUCUUUGUUUGUAAAGUGAAAGAUAAGCGAAAAAGAAGAAAGGAAAUGAAGUGAAAGAAGAAUAUAGGAGGCGGAAUAGAAGAAGAGUUCGGGACUAAAGGAUUGCUACGGUAAUGCUAACAUAAUUUCCCUAUUAUUUUAUGCGUAUUAGUACUUUUACUCGCAGUUUAAAACUCGACCGCUAGAUGACGUUGUUUUAGUUUACUUUUGACCGCUAGAUGGCAUGAGAAUGUCAAUUCUGGAAAUAAAUAAGUCUAACUUAGAAAAUAAGAACUUAUUGAUUAAAAAUGACAAAUAACUUGAUGAACUUAGUCAAGUAAGGUUUUAAUUUAUCCAACAGGGAGGUUUUUAUUUUACGAUAAGUAAAAAGUUAGUUUGUCAGAGAUGGAAUGACUUGCUUGGAUAUACACAUAGAUUGUACCCCACGCAAAGAUAGUACUCAGGUUCAAAUCCCGGGGAAGCUUGUAAAAGGGAACAAAUGUGCGUCGGCACCAGUAUACGGAAGGCGGGUCACAUCGUGGCCUCUCCACCCCCUUCUUGUAUAUUGAGGUCUCGCGCUCCUCUCAGUAUUCAAUUCGUUGGCCGUAUAGCUCUUGUGGUGGAGAGAGUUGGUCUUCAGAAGUAACUACUGACGAUGGAGAUUUGUUCCUUUCAGCUAGGGGAGAGUCUGGCGCUGGACUCAAUCCGUGUACGAACGGCUUUUGCAUUUUUUCAAAAUUUUCAAGUAAUUUUUCCGCAAUGUAAUUAUAUAUUUAAUUCCAAUUCUAAUCGAAUUUUAAAAAAUUAUCAUAUUAUCAUUUAUCUUAUUCCUUAGAAACAUAUAUAAUUAUAUGUUUUUAAAGAACCUAACCUGUUUUUGAGACUAUUUGAACUAAUGAUUUGACUUAUACUGAUUGUUUGAAUUAUAUCUUUUUUUGUCUAUAUUAUAUAUAUUUUUUUCUUUCUAUUCCGAUUCUUCCUAUCCCAUAUGUUUUUUUCUUUCUUUUUUGUUUAAUUACUUAAUCUAUUUGGAGACUAUUCUUAUUGUUACUUCUGCCGUUUUAUUUAUUAAAAACACUACUGAGGCUACAAUUUUGGAGAAUGCGAAUAAGCAAGGAGAAGAAGAAGGAUAGAAAAGUGAUAGACGAAUAACAGAAUAAAGAAGAAUUUCAAGAGACUAGAAAGAGAGAAAUAGAGGAAAGAAAUUUUCCUACGAACGAUAAAAAAAAAAAAAAUGAUAUGUCAAACCCCCUUGUAUCAUAUCUUUUUAAUCAAAAAUUAUGUUAUAAAAAAAAAGUAUUUGCGCUACAGUUCGGGAUGACUCAAUGUUGGAUUUUCUUCAAAUACGUAAUUGACGUGUUCCAUUCCUUUUAGACAAAGUUGUCCGGUUGGGAUUGCAAUUGGUAAUUACAACCAAUAAUUACAACCAAAAUAAAUGUUAUAUUACAGAAA
RNAcentral lists this long non-coding RNA (1847 nucleotides) under Daphnia magna. RNAcentral describes it as "uncharacterized LOC123472574". Lineage: Eukaryota; Metazoa; Arthropoda; Branchiopoda; Diplostraca; Daphniidae. The record is from RNAcentral.